CAUCCCUAUGAGGAACGCUAGCCAAAGUAAAAGUAGUGGACUGAUCUCCAUUGAUGAAUUCAAUUCUGAGGGAUG
RNAcentral lists this small nucleolar RNA (75 nucleotides) under Nelumbo nucifera (sacred lotus). RNAcentral describes it as "Small nucleolar RNA R21". It matches the Rfam family "Small nucleolar RNA R21". Rfam says of the family: snoR21 is a member of the C/D class of snoRNA which contain the C (UGAUGA) and D (CUGA) box motifs. Most of the members of the box C/D family function in directing site-specific 2'-O-methylation of substrate RNAs. The record is from Rfam by way of RNAcentral. Lineage: Eukaryota; Viridiplantae; Streptophyta; Magnoliopsida; Proteales; Nelumbonaceae.